AUUGAACGCUGGCGGCAUGCCUUACACAUGCAAGUCGCACGGUAACAGGUCUUCGGAUGCUGACGAGUGGCGAACGGGUGAGUAAUACAUCGGAACGUGCCUAGUAGUGGGGGAUAACUACUCGAAAGAGUGGCUAAUACCGCAUGAGAUCUUCGGAUGAAAGCAGGGGAUCGCCAGACCUUGUGCUACUAAUGCGGCCGAUGGCAGAUUAGGUAGUUGGUGGGAUAAAAGCUUACCAAGCCGACGAUCUGUAGCUGGUCUGAGAGGACGAUCAGCCACACUGGGACUGAGAAACGGCCCAGACUCCUACGGGAGGCAGCAGAGGGGAAUUUUGGACAAUGGGCGAAAGCCUGAUCCAGCAAUGCCGCGUGCAGGAUGAAGGCCUUCGGGUUGUAAACUGCUUUUGUACGGAACGAAAAGCCCCGGGUUAAUACCCUGGGGUCAUGACGGUACCGUAAGAAUAAGCACCGGCUAACUACGUGCCAGCCGCCGCCGUAA
RNAcentral lists this ribosomal RNA (498 nucleotides) under uncultured bacterium. RNAcentral describes it as "partial 16S ribosomal RNA". It matches the Rfam family "Bacterial small subunit ribosomal RNA", at positions 30 to 523 of the family's 1533-position model. The record is from RNAcentral.